Molecule: long non-coding RNA, 1981 nt
Organism: Heterocephalus glaber (naked mole-rat)
Lineage: Eukaryota; Metazoa; Chordata; Mammalia; Rodentia; Bathyergidae
Source: Ensembl
CACCUCAAAUAACUUCCCCAAGAUAUCAGUGGAUGUCUGGCUGAAGUUCUUAACCUUUACUUUAUACUCACUAACAGCAAAAAUGAGAAGAACCACUUUUCAAGAAUGCAAAUUUUGUUCCAGGAACAUUCAUUAUCUCACUUCACCUUUGUGCUCCUGUGAGUAAAUAAUGUCUCUGUUCUACAGAUGAGGAAACCAAGGCUUCGAGGUACCCAAUAACUGGCUUAAAGUUACUGAUAUCACGUGUUGAAUGCUAGUAAAUAAUGGAGCUGAAACUCUGGAAUUGCAAAGAGGAUAUAAAUUGUGAUCCUACUAUUUCUAGUCAGAAAAGUUUAAAACUGGCAUCUGUGGCCCUCACUUCUCUGCCAGACUCCAUGUCCCGAAGGCUGACCUUGCAGAGUGCACCACCUGGGCUACCUGUUCAGUUCAACCAACAAGAAUUGUCCUCUUCCACUGCCUCAAUGCUAAGGAUCCAACUGUGGCUUCUCCUUUUAUAACAACUCCUGAUAGACUCUUACCAUAACACCAGCUCUCCCUAAGAUCCAAAAACAUGAUUGCCUCCCCUGUUCCUUUAGGCCUAACAGUAAUAUCAUCUUCUUCUUACAGCCAUACGUGGGUGCCGUAGGAUCCCUUGCUGAUGUGAUCCAUUCAUAGUUCUAUAUAAGGUGCCUUCAUUCAAUUCUCAUCAGAGCCUAAUGUGACUGUGCAUUUUCAUCUUGCCAGGCCCCUGAGUGAUAUAACAAAUACUUAUAACAGACGGAAAUGGUGGAGGACAAGGGACCCCACUUCAGAGCCCCUACCAUAGGCCAAGCAGACAGCCAAGUAAUUUUAUGGUUGAUAAUAAAUGUCAAUCACUCUGAAGAAAGGGGUGUGAGGCAGGGUAAGACAAAGCGGGUGUCACAGGAAUUUGAGACAUAGGUUUCAGAUCCUUGCCAUUAGGUACUCCUAUUUCCCCAACUCAGAAUUUGAUAAAAGAAGGAGAAUCAGAACUAAUCCAUUCAGUUAGCCUGAAUAACAGAAAUGCUAGAGUGUAAAAUGUAGAUGUAAAAUAUUCUUCCAAGUUUGAAUGCAAUUUAAAUAGAAAGAGUGAAGGAAAGAGCAAGUAUUUAACUUUUUUUUUGUACCAUUCUAUGUACCUUAGUGUAGCACAGAGGUGAGCAGACAUAAACAUGAUUAAUGAAGUGACUAAUGUCCUCACUUAAAUCUCUGGAAUGGUUUACAAUUUUAAAAGGGUAUACCAUCAAAAGGAUGUGUUCCCCCCCCUUCACACACACACACACACACACACACACACACACACACACGUUUAAGCAUGACUUAAAUAAUAGAAAAAAUAGUAACCAGUGGCAAGUGUCUAGCACAGGAAUGAUGACGGGUCCUGAGUGCUGUGGAUUGGAUCGGGAAUGUGCUCUAAAGGCCCAUAUUCACAGCCUCGGUCUAUAGCGUGGUCCUAUUGAGAGGUUGGGGCAACACUAAGGGGUGAGGCCUCAUGGGACGUUUUAGGUCACUGAGGCUGCACUUGAUGGGGAUUGUGGACCCUGGAAUCUUUUUCUUUUUCUUUUGGUUCCCAGCCAUGAGCAAAUAGCUUUGCUCCUCCUCCCUGCUCUCCUACCAGGAUGUGCUGCUCUGCCACAGGUCCAAAAGUAAUGAGGCCAACCAACUAUGGACUGAAGCUUCCUAAACUGUGAGCCAAACAAAACCUUUCUUGUGAUAAAUUGAUCAUCUCAGAUAUUUGUUUUAGUAAUGGAUAUCUAAGAUAGAAAAUUCUGGGUUAGGCCUUAGCAACCACCACAGUUAGAUGAUUCAAAGGUUAUCUUAUUAAAAUAUUCUAAGUAUCAGUUCUGUCAGGAAAAAAUAACUGCGAUCUUUUUUAUCAAUAUUUUUUCUUUUUUUGCAAGUUUUUUUAAAAAGUAGAACAGAAAAGGUACUUUAGAUCCUUUGUGCACAACCUAUAACCAAACAAAAUAACCACAGCCUAGGG